Molecule: small RNA, 671 nt
Filed under: Arabidopsis thaliana (thale cress)
Lineage: Eukaryota; Viridiplantae; Streptophyta; Magnoliopsida; Brassicales; Brassicaceae
Description: ATSL209120
Source: RNAcentral
UAAAUAUUUCCAUAAACAUCUAAUUAAACCAACCAAUAGAAUAACAAUUAAACCGCAAGUCAAAAAUACUAUUUAAUGAAUAAAUAAAUAAUUCGACCAACAAAACCAAGAAUAACUAACAAUUCUAACCGGGUUCCAAUAACCAAAAACACCAAAAAUAAAACAAACGAGUUCCUAGAUCAUCCUCUCUUCCUUGCCAUGAUUCCACGAUCACACUUUAUCUUUACCUGCAUCAACAACACAAUGAGAUGCGUAAGUAUUAUCAUAAAUACUUAGUGAGGCGAUCCUCCCAUCUACGAGCUAUACACACAAGCAAAUAAAAAGGUAUAAUCACGAAUACAAUACAAACAAACCAGUCAUUGAACAAUUCACCCAAAACACAUUCACCACACCUACAUAUCAUCACACAAAACAAAUCACACAACCCUAUCGCUCAGAUAAGCUCAUGGUCACGCACUCACCUUAACAAAUUGAUUCUAAUAGCAAUUAAACCCAGGAAAGACUCUCCUUGCGUCUGAAACAGUCCAGAAACAUCCUACAAAAAGUCCACAACCAAAAGCAACCUUGAAGCAAACUGGACAGGAAAAACCAGAAACAAGCAGUCUCAAAGACGAAACCCUCAAAUACAAACUAACCGUUAACUAUUCAAUCGCUCCGGUGAAAUCCUAGAU